GCUCGAUUUAGGUGGCAGUGACGACUGUGUUGAGAUAUCGUCACUUGGUGUAAGUGGCAUGAGUUGCUGUCGCUCGAUAUAGGUGGCAGCAACGACUGUGUUGAGAUAUCGUCACUUGGUGUAAGUGGCAUGAGUUGCUGUCGCUCGAUUUAGGUGGCAGCAACGACUGUGUUGAGAUAUCGUCACUUGGUGUAAGUGGCAUGAGUUGCUACCGCUCGAUUUAGGUGGUAGUGACGCCUGGUUGUGAGAUAUCGUCACUCAGUAGAGUGGCAUGAGUUGCUACCGCUCGAUUUAGGUGGUAGUGACGCCUGGUUUUGAGAUAUCGUCGCUCAGUAGAGUGGCAUGAGUUACUAUCGCUCGUUUAGGUGAUAGUAACGACAGACGUGUAAAGAGUAAUUGGAUUUUCAAGUUUGGUUGUUUAUAGUGUGUGAAUACUGGUCAAUGGUCCGUUUACCGUGUCGGAGUAGUUGAUUUAUCAUGAUGUAAUGUGAACUCGUGUAGAGUCACGAGUAGAGCUCAUGUAGAGUCACGAGUAGAGCUCAUGUAGAGUCACGAGUAGAGCUCGUGUAGAGUCACGAGUAGAGCUCAUGUAGAGUUACAAGUAGAGCUCAUGUAGAGUCACAAGUAGAUCUCAUGUAGAGUCACAAGUAGAGCUCAUGUAGAGUCUCAUGUUAGGUCAGGAAUGACCGAGCGAACUUGGAUACUGUGCUGUGGUAUGUUGUUUCAGAUUCACACACGAGGACGUGUGUCGCGCAGGAUGGCCGUGUCGGAGUUAGUUAUGAAUAAAGAAGAGAAAUUGAUCAAAUUAGACACUAUAAUGAAGUUGCAACACUUCCAUCAUGAAGUUGCAACGCUCCGACGUCAGGUGGCGUACGAGCAGAGCGGAGUGAAGUCGGGAGUCACUACAGAGUCGUCGUGUCGAGCAGACGUGCACUGCCGUUCUAGUCGGGCAGUCUACCGCGAACCAUCGUCAUGAGCGGACGUGUCGAAUAAUUACGAGGAGUGCUAUAGUCGCUCACCUAUAA
Molecule: long non-coding RNA, 1025 nt
Organism: Pectinophora gossypiella (pink bollworm)
Lineage: Eukaryota; Metazoa; Arthropoda; Insecta; Lepidoptera; Gelechiidae
Exons: 2
Source: RefSeq, a predicted model, not a curated record